RNAcentral lists this long non-coding RNA (2248 nucleotides) under Sus scrofa (pig). RNAcentral's name for it is "lncRNA (ENSSSCG00025065674.1)". Lineage: Eukaryota; Metazoa; Chordata; Mammalia; Artiodactyla; Suidae. The record is from RNAcentral.
GUUUAGAAAGCAAAUGUGUUUAUUAUAAGAGAUGCAGACAAAUCAGAAAGUAAAAAGGGAAUAUGCACCACUGUUAACGUAUUUACCAUCGUUUAGGACAUUUUAACAUUUAUUCCCACAUAUCGAUACAUAGAUUUGUUUAUAUACAAAGAGACAAGUCAGGGAGAGAGAAAAAGAGAGCUUCAUAAAUACCCCUCCUUUUUUUCGUCUGUUUAGGGCUGCACCUGCAGCAUACGGAGGUUCCCAUGCUAGGGGUCGAAUCGGAGCUACAGCUUGGCCUACACCACAGCCACAGCAACUCCAGAUCUGAGCCUCGUCUUUGACCUACACCACAGCUCACAGCAGUGCCGGAUCCUUAACCCAAUGAGUGAGGCCAGGGAUCGAACCCAUAUCCUCAUGGAUACUAGUUAUAUUCAUUACCUCUGCCACCAUGGGAACUCCCAUAAAUACACUUUUUAAGAACAAAAAAUGAUUAUGCCUUAGAGGCCUUUUCAUUGGAUUGGUAAUCUGUUAUUGGCAUUGCUGUGGACUGAACCCCCCCCCUUUCGUAUGUUGAAAUCCUACCCCCUCCAUGUUACUGUUUGUGUAGAUAGGGCCUUUAAUGAGGUAAUUAAUGUUAAAUGAGGUCGUAAGGGUGGCUGCUCCAGUAGGGCUGGUGUCCUUAUGAAAAGAGGAAGAGGCAGUAUAUUGUUAUGGUAGCCCCAGUGAACUAAUCCAGAUAUUCUGGGACUUUAACUAGACUUCUCCAUGUUCUAAUGGUGAAUAAUAUUCCAUUCUGUGGCCAUGCAAUUACUAAUUUAAACAAUCAUGAACAUUUAUGUUGUGCCUGAAGGUUUCUGUUAUAAGCAAGGUUACAAGGAGCACCCUUGCACAUAAACUGUGCACACACAUCAAAUCCAUUUUUAGGAUAAUGUACAAGAAUGGAAUUGCAGGGUCAGAAAACGUGCUUGUGCUGAAUCGUGACACAGGAGCCGAACCGGCUUCCCAAGAGGCAGGGCCCGCUGGCAUUCCCAGGCCCAGGACUUGAGAGCCAGUGUUCCCACCGCCCCCCGCCCCCCCAAAACUGGACAUGUUCCGCCCUUAACCUGCUCCGCAUGCCUAGGCCCAAAUGAUCAUUGAAUUUCAUAACAGAAGUUGAAUAUCUUGAUAUACGAUUAUUGAAAUUUCUAUUUCUCCUUUUUAAUGAACCUCUGUGCAUCCUUUCUCCAUUUUUUCCAAGAGGCUUUGUUUCCCUUACUGUUUAAAAUUCCUGUUACCACGUGAUAGUCCUUGCUCUGUUAUAAGUUACAAUCUCUUUUCUGAUUUGCCAUUUUCCUUUUCAUUUCGUCUUGCUUAGCUGUUGGCUUGUUUAUUGCCAUACAGAAUUCUUUUUUUUUUUAAUUUUAAUUUUUAUUUUUUUAACAGAAUAAAAUACAUUUAAACACAAUUACAUUCACACAGAUUAUUAUAUCAUGGAUCUUAAACAGAUUAAGUGACUCCCUCUGGAGAAGUGGAAUGGAAAAUAUGCUGAGACAAAUAGGAAAUUUAUUCUAUACUUUAUCCCAUUUUGUAUGGCUUUCAUCCUUACUAUUUAGUAUUAUCUAUUACAUUUCAGUUUUUCUUUAACAAUUAGCAUCAUAUUAAAAUUGUUAUAUUAUGCAACUAAAAUUUAUAAAGAAGAAAGCCUUAUAUACCAUUAAAUAUUUUAUAUAGCAUAAUAAAAAGAAUAACUGGUAAGAAUAACAAAAAUAAUAUACCCUCUGAAAAUAAGUAAAAUAUAAAAUGCAUAAAUUGGUUAAAAAACAGUGUAACUAUAUAAAUAUGUCCUCACAAUUUGUUACAUCUUAUUGAUUCUUCAAUAUAGGCAUUACACCAUUCUAGGUGAUGUGAUAAACAAGACAUUAUAGACCUUACAUUGUACCAUGGAGAGAAAUGGUUAUUAAUAAUACAAUUGUAGAACUGUAUUAUUUAAUUGUAGAGUUGCAUUAUUUAAUUAUAAUUAUCAUAAACUCUUUGAUGCAGAGGAAAUCAGAAUCAGAUCUAAGAAGACUUCAGCAUUCCAAGAAUGAUGUCAAAUGACCCCCUUCAUGGUGGAUUAUGCACUUAUUUACUAUGAGAUAUGUUUCUUCUUCAGAGAUUCCUUGUUUGUGUAUCAAUUGUAGAUUUUUGGUUUGCAGUUAUUCUGAAGUUUUGAUAUAAGAGUCUAUAUGUAUAUGAGAUUGUUUUAAGUUGUUGUUCUCUUAAUUGCAAGUUCAUCUCCACUGUCCUG